GACAGAGGGUGCAAACGUUGCUCGGAAUUACUGGGCGUAAAGCGCGUGUAGGCGGACUUGCAAGUCAGAUGUGAAAUCCCCGAGCUCAACUCGGGAACUGCAUUUGAAACUGCCUGUCUUGAGUAGUGGAGAGGAAAGCAGAAUUCCCGGUGUAGCGGUGGAAUGCGUAGAUAUCGGGAAGAAUACCGGUGGCGAAGGCGUUCCGCUGGGCCGUUGCUGACGCUGAGGCGCGACAGCGUGGGGAGCAAACAGG
Molecule: ribosomal RNA, 253 nt
Filed under: uncultured bacterium
Lineage: Bacteria
Description: partial 16S ribosomal RNA
Rfam family: Bacterial small subunit ribosomal RNA
Source: RNAcentral